AUACGGAGGAUGCAAGCGGUAUCCGGAUUUAUUGGGUUUAAAGGGUGCGUAGGCGGAGGAGUAAGUCAGGGGUGAAAUGCACCGGCUCAACUGCGGAACUGCCUUUGAUACGGCUUUUCUGGAGUCCGGAUGCGGUGGGAGGAAUGGGACGUGUAGCGGUGAAAUGCAUAGAUAUGGCCCAGAACACCGAGUGCGAAGGCAUCUCACGCAUCCGGGACUGACGCUGAUGCACGAAAGCGUGGGGAUCAAACAGGAAUAGAUUCGCUGGUAAUGCACGCAGUGAACGAAGAUAACUAACCGGCGGCGAGAGACAUUCGGUGGCCAAGCGAAAGCGAUAAGUUAGCCGCCUGGGGAGUACGUUCGCAAGAAUGAAACUCAAAGGAAUUGACCGGG
RNAcentral lists this ribosomal RNA (393 nucleotides) under uncultured bacterium. Its description in RNAcentral is "partial 16S ribosomal RNA". It matches the Rfam family "Bacterial small subunit ribosomal RNA", at positions 523 to 918 of the family's 1533-position model. The record is from RNAcentral.